GGGCCCGCACAAGCAGCGGAGCAUGUGGUUUAAUUCGAAGCAACGCGAAGAACCUUACCAGGUCUUGACAUCGAUGGAACCUGUAGAGAUACGGGGUGCCCUUCGGGGCCCUGAAGACAGGUGGUGCAUGGUUGUCGUCAGCUCGUGUCGUGAGAUGUUGGGUUAAGUCCCGCAACGAGCGCAACCCUUGUUGUCAGUUACUAACGCGUAAAGGCGAGGACUCUGACGAGACUGCCGGGGACAACUCGGAGGAAGGUGGGGACGACGUCAAAUCAUCAUGCCCCUUAUGACCUGGGCUACACACGUGCUACAAUGGCCACUACAAAGAGGAGCGAGGUCGCAAGACGGAGCGGAUCUGAGAAAAGUGGUCUCAGUUCAGAUCGUGGGCUGCAACCCGCCCACGUGAAGUCGGAGUUGCUAGUAAUCGCGAAUCAGCAUGUCGCGGUGAAUACGUUCCCGGGCCUU
RNAcentral lists this ribosomal RNA (465 nucleotides) under uncultured bacterium. RNAcentral describes it as "bacterial SSU rRNA". It matches the Rfam family "Bacterial small subunit ribosomal RNA", at positions 917 to 1382 of the family's 1533-position model. The record is from RNAcentral.